ACGGCCGCAGAUCCCGGCAACUUGCGAGCCGGGAAAAGUUUGCGGCGCCUCCGCGGGGCGGCGCGACGCGGCCCGUACCUCGCGUCCGCGGUCAUCGCGGGUGACUUUCUCGACUCGUCGUCAGCCGGGGCCGCUGCGCGGCCGGCGGGGACUGCGGGGCGGGCCGGAGUCCGUCCGAGGGCUCCCGCACCUCGGGCUGCGGAUUUCAGGUACUCCACUGGGCAUUUUCUCUUCAUGGAGCUUAUAGCAACAAAAGUGUUUUACAAAAGAACAUUAAAAUCUCCCCAGAUGCUCACUGCUCUGAUCAUUUCCCCUACAGCAUCAGACAUGUUGGCAUCAUCUCUUAGUUGGGCCCUGUGGCCAGGGAACCUUUCAUGAAACCACCUCUGCAGUCCUGGAGAGUUGCUGUAGAAGAAGGAAAAGAGAAGAAGACAACACAACACAGGAGGGGAUAAGUACCUCUGGACACAAUGGA
Molecule: long non-coding RNA, 475 nt
Filed under: Pan troglodytes (chimpanzee)
Lineage: Eukaryota; Metazoa; Chordata; Mammalia; Primates; Hominidae
Description: lincRNA
Source: RNAcentral